AUUGAACGCUGGCGGCAGGCCUAACACAUGCAAGUCGAACGGUAACAGAAAGCAGCUUGCUGCUUUGCUGACGAGUGGCGGACGGGUGAGUAAUGUCCGGGAAACUGCCUGAUGGAGGGGGAUAACUACUGGAAACGGUAGCUAAUACCGCAUAACGUCGCAAGACCAAAGAGGGGGACCUUCGGGCCUCUUGCCAUCGGAUGUGCCCAGAUGGGAUUAGCUUGUUGGUGGGGUAACGGCUCACCAAGGCGACGAUCCCUAGCUGGUCUGAGAGGAUGACCAGCCACACUGGAACUGAGACACGGUCCAGACUCCUACGGGAGGCAGCAGUGGGGAAUAUUGCACAAUGGGCGCAAGCCUGAUGCAGCCAUGCCGCGUGUAUGAAGAAGGCCUUCGGGUUGUAAAGUACUUUCAGCGGGGAGGAAGGGAGUAAAGUUAAUACCUUUGCUCAUUGACGUUACCCGCAGAAGAAGCACCGGCUAACUCCGUG
Molecule: ribosomal RNA, 490 nt
Filed under: uncultured bacterium
Lineage: Bacteria
Description: partial 16S ribosomal RNA
Rfam family: Bacterial small subunit ribosomal RNA
Source: RNAcentral